AAGCCAGUGGCGCGAAGCUACC
Molecule: small nuclear RNA, 22 nt
Filed under: Arabidopsis thaliana (thale cress)
Lineage: Eukaryota; Viridiplantae; Streptophyta; Magnoliopsida; Brassicales; Brassicaceae
Description: snRNA_18455
Source: RNAcentral